AUUGAACGCUGGCGGCAAGCCUAACACAUGCAAGUCGAACGAGUGGCGGACGGGUGAGUAAUGUCUGGGAAACUGCCUGAUGGAGGGGGAUAACUACUGGAAACGGUAGCUAAUACCGCAUACCAUCGGAUGUGCCCAGAUGGGAUUAGCUAGUAGGUGGGGUAAAGGCUCACCUAGGCGACGAUCCCUAGCUGGUCUGAGAGGAUGACAAGCCACACUGGAACUGGGACACGGUCCAGACUCCUACGGGAGGCAGCAGUGGGGAAUAUUGCACGAUGGGCGCAAGCCUGAUGCAGCCAUGCCGAGUGUAUGAAGAAGUCCUUCGGGUUGUAAAGUACUUUCAGCGGGGAGGCGUUACCCGCAGAAGAAGCACCGGCUAACUCCGUGCCAGCAGCCGCGGUAAUUC
RNAcentral lists this ribosomal RNA (406 nucleotides) under uncultured bacterium. RNAcentral describes it as "partial 16S ribosomal RNA". It matches the Rfam family "Bacterial small subunit ribosomal RNA", at positions 30 to 526 of the family's 1533-position model. The record is from RNAcentral.